RNAcentral lists this ribosomal RNA (734 nucleotides) under uncultured bacterium. RNAcentral describes it as "bacterial SSU rRNA". It matches the Rfam family "Bacterial small subunit ribosomal RNA", at positions 771 to 1501 of the family's 1533-position model. The record is from RNAcentral.
AACAGGAUUAGAUACCCUGGUAGUCCAUGCCGUAAACGUUGGGCACUAGGUGUGGGGUCUGUUUCCACGGGUUCCGUGCCGUAGCUAACGCAUUAAGUGCCCCGCCUGGGGAGUACGGCCGCAAGGCUAAAACUCAAAGGAAUUGACGGGGGCCCGCACAAGCGGCGGAGCAUGCGGAUUAAUUCGAUGCAACGCGAAGAACCUUACCAAGGCUUGACAUGCACUGGAAGCGCUCAGAGAUGGGUGUGCCUUUUGGGCCGGUGCACAGGUGGUGCAUGGUUGUCGUCAGCUCGUGUCGUGAGAUGUUGGGUUAAGUCCCGCAACGAGCGCAACCCUUGUCCUGUGUUGCCAGCGGGUAGUGCCGGGGACUCAUGGGAGACUGCCGGGGUCAACUCGGAGGAAGGUGGGGAUGACGUCAAAUCAUCAUGCCCCUUAUGUCUUGGGCUUCACGCAUGCUACAAUGGCCGGUACAAAGGGUUGCGAUGCCGUGAGGUGGAGCGAAUCCCAAAAAGCCGGUCUCAGUUCGGAUUGGGGUCUGCAACUCGACCCCAUGAAGUCGGAGUCGCUAGUAAUCGCAGAUCAGCAACGCUGCGGUGAAUACGUUCUCGGGCCUUGUACACACCGCCCGUCACGUCACGAAAGUCGGUAACACCCGAAGCCGGUGGCCCAACCCUUGUGGGGGGAGCUGUCGAAGGUGGGACUGGCGAUUGGGACGAAGUCGUAACAAGGUAACC